UCCCUCAUAGCUCAGUUGGUAAAGAAUCUGCCUGCAGUGCAGGAGACGUGGGUUAGAUUCCUGUUUUAGGAA
This 72-nucleotide transfer RNA is filed under the name Bos taurus (domestic cattle). It matches the Rfam family "tRNA". Rfam says of the family: Transfer RNA (tRNA) molecules are approximately 80 nucleotides in length. RNAcentral also lists the same sequence under 5 other names. Lineage: Eukaryota; Metazoa; Chordata; Mammalia; Artiodactyla; Bovidae. The record is from Rfam by way of RNAcentral.